GGUUUGUAGGUCAGUGGUAGAACUUGUGAUCAGCAUGCACAAGGCCCUGGGUUCAAUCCCCAGCAUCACCA
This 71-nucleotide transfer RNA is filed under the name Marmota marmota marmota (Alpine marmot). It matches the Rfam family "tRNA". Rfam says of the family: Transfer RNA (tRNA) molecules are approximately 80 nucleotides in length. Their secondary structure includes four short double-helical elements and three loops (D, anti-codon, and T loops). RNAcentral also lists the same sequence under 1 other name. Lineage: Eukaryota; Metazoa; Chordata; Mammalia; Rodentia; Sciuridae. The record is from Rfam by way of RNAcentral.